CCUACGGGAGGCAGCAGUGGGGAAUAUUGCACAAUGGGGGAAACCCUGAUGCAGCGACGCCGCGUGAGUGAAGAAGGAUUUCGGUACGUAAAGCUCUAUCAGCAGGGAAGAAAACGACGGUACCUGACGAAGAAGCCCCGGCCAACUACGUGCCAGCAAGCACGGUAAUACGGAGGGGGCGAGCGUUCGCCGGAAGUACUGGGUGUAAAGGGAGCGGAGACGGCAGCGCAAGUCUGGAGUGAAAUCCCAGGGCUUAACCGAGGAACUGCAUUGGAAACUGUGCAGCUGGAGUGCAGGAGGGGGAAGCGGAAUUCCUAGUGUAGCGGUGAAAUGCGUAGAUAUUAGGAGGAACACCGGUGGCGAAGGCGGCUUACUGGACUGUAACUGACGUUGAGGCUCGAAAGCGUGGGGAGCAAACAGGAUUAGAUACCCUGGUAGUC
RNAcentral lists this ribosomal RNA (440 nucleotides) under uncultured bacterium. RNAcentral's name for it is "partial 16S ribosomal RNA". It matches the Rfam family "Bacterial small subunit ribosomal RNA", at positions 338 to 795 of the family's 1533-position model. The record is from RNAcentral.